This 26-nucleotide non-coding RNA is filed under the name Mus musculus (house mouse). The record is from RNAcentral. Lineage: Eukaryota; Metazoa; Chordata; Mammalia; Rodentia; Muridae.
UAACAAAUCGGGAAGGUGACAGAGUC